Molecule: ribosomal RNA, 1369 nt
Filed under: uncultured bacterium
Lineage: Bacteria
Description: bacterial SSU rRNA
Rfam family: Bacterial small subunit ribosomal RNA
Source: RNAcentral
GACGAACGCUGGCGGCGUGCCUAAUACAUGCAAGUAGAACGCUGAAGAGAGGAGCUUGCUCUUCUUGGAUGAGUUGCGAACGGGUGAGUAACGCGUAGGUAACCUGCCUUGUAGCGGGGGAUAACUAUUGGAAACGAUAGCUAAUACCGCAUAACAAUGGAUGACACAUGUCAUUUAUUUGAAAGGGGCAAUUGCUCCACUACAAGAUGGACCUGCGUUGUAUUAGCUAGUAGGUGAGGUAACGGCUCACCUAGGCGACGAUACAUAGCCGACCUGAGAGGGUGAUCGGCCACACUGGGACUGAGACACGGCCCAGACUCCUACGGGAGGCAGCAGUAGGGAAUCUUCGGCAAUGGGGGCAACCCUGACCGAGCAACGCCGCGUGAGUGAAGAAGGUUUUCGGAUCGUAAAGCUCUGUUGUAAGUCAAGAACGAGUGUGAGAGUGGAAAGUUCACACUGUGACGGUAGCUUACCAGAAAGGGACGGCUAACUACGUGCCAGCAGCCGCGGUAAUACGUAGGUCCCGAGCGUUGUCCGGAUUUAUUGGGCGUAAAGCGAGCGCAGGCGGUUUGAUAAGUCUGAAGUUAAAGGCUGUGGCUCAACCAUAGUUCGCUUUGGAAACUGUCAAACUUGAGUGCAGAAGGGGAGAGUGGAAUUCCAUGUGUAGCGGUGAAAUGCGUAGAUAUAUGGAGGAACACCGGUGGCGAAAGCGGCUCUCUGGUCUGUAACUGACGCUGAGGCUCGAAAGCGUGGGGAGCGAACAGGAUUAGAUACCCUGGUAGUCCACGCCGUAAACGAUGAGUGCUAGGUGUUGGAUCCUUUCCGGGAUUCAGUGCCGCAGCUAACGCAUUAAGCACUCCGCCUGGGGAGUACGACCGCAAGGUUGAAACUCAAAGGAAUUGACGGGGGCCCGCACAAGCGGUGGAGCAUGUGGUUUAAUUCGAAGCAACGCGAAGAACCUUACCAGGUCUUGACAUCCCGAUGCUAUUUCUAGAGAUAGAAAGUUACUUCGGUACAUCGGUGACAGGUGGUGCAUGGUUGUCGUCAGCUCGUGUCGUGAGAUGUUGGGUUAAGUCCCGCAACGAGCGCAACCCCUAUUGUUAGUUGCCAUCAUUCAGUUGGGCACUCUAGCGAGACUGCCGGUAAUAAACCGGAGGAAGGUGGGGAUGACGUCAAAUCAUCAUGCCCCUUAUGACCUGGGCUACACACGUGCUACAAUGGUUGGUACAACGAGUCGCGAGUCGGUGACGGCAAGCUAAUCUCUUAAAGCCAAUCUCAGUUCGGAUUGUAGGCUGCAACUCGCCUACAUGAAGUCGGAAUCGCUAGUAAUUGCGGAUCAGCACGCCGCGGUGAAUACGUUCCCGGGCCU